CCUCAUACCGGACAGGGUAUUGAGGUUUAUAGUUUUGGUGCCCAUACCGGACGAAGUAUGGGGAUGGCCCUGGAAUUAAGUUAUUAAUCUGAAUGGUUCACGUGUAGCGGGGACCCCUUAUGGAUCCCCAUGGAUACUAGUAGGCUGAUAAAAGAGGAAAUUUGUUGUCUGAUGAUUGAAAUACAAAAGUAUGAUAUGUGUUAUG
RNAcentral lists this long non-coding RNA (205 nucleotides) under Carica papaya (papaya). Its description in RNAcentral is "long non-coding RNA (CPAP_LNC008957)". The record is from RNAcentral. Lineage: Eukaryota; Viridiplantae; Streptophyta; Magnoliopsida; Brassicales; Caricaceae.